This 447-nucleotide ribosomal RNA is filed under the name uncultured bacterium. RNAcentral's name for it is "bacterial SSU rRNA". It matches the Rfam family "Bacterial small subunit ribosomal RNA", at positions 330 to 793 of the family's 1533-position model. The record is from RNAcentral.
UCCAGACUCCUACGGGAGGCAGCAGUCGGGAAUAUUGCACAAUGGAGGAAACUCUGAUGCAGUGACACCGCGUAUAGGAAGAAGGUUUUCGGAUUGUAAACUAUUUUAGACAGGGAAGAAAAAAGACAGUACCUGUAGAAUAAGCUCCGGCUAACUACGUGCCAGCAGCCGCGGUAAUACGUAGGGAGCAAGCGUUAUCCGGAAUUAUUGGGUGUAAAGGGUGCGUAGACGGAGAAACAAGUUGGUUGUGAAAUCCCUCGGCUCAACCGAGGAACUGCAACCAAAACUAUUGCCCUUGAGUGUCGGAGAGGAAAGUGGAAUUCCUAGUGUAGCGGUGAAAUGCGUAGAUAUUAGGAGGAACACCAGUGGCGAAGGCGACUUUCUGGACGAUAACUGACGUUGAGGCACGAAAGUGUGGGGAGCAAACAGGAUUAGAUACCCGCGUAA